RNAcentral lists this ribosomal RNA (484 nucleotides) under uncultured bacterium. RNAcentral describes it as "partial 16S ribosomal RNA". It matches the Rfam family "Bacterial small subunit ribosomal RNA", at positions 30 to 507 of the family's 1533-position model. The record is from RNAcentral.
AUUGAACGCUGGCGGCAGGCCUAACACAUGCAAGUCGAGCGGAUGAAGGGAGCUUGCUCCUGGAUUCAGCGGCGGACGGGUGAGUAAUGCCUAGGAAUCUGCCUGGUAGUGGGGGAUAACGUCCGGUAACGGGCGCUAAUACCGCAUACGUCCUGCGGGAGAAAGUGGGGGAUCUUCGGACCUCACGCUAUCAGAUGAGCCUAGGUCGGAUUAGCUAGUUGGUGGGGUAAAGGCCUACCAAGGCGGCGAUCCGUAACUGGUCUGAGAGGAUGAUCAGCCACACUGGAACUGAGACACGGUCCAGACUCCGACGGUAGGCAGCAGUGGGGAAUAUUGGACAAUGGGCGAAAGCCUGAUCCAGCCAUGCCGCGUGUGUGAAGAAGGUCUUCGGAUUGGAAAGCACUUUAAGUUGGGAGGAAGGGCAGUAAGUUAAUACCUUGCUGUUUUGACGUUACCAACAGAAUAAGCACCGGCUAACUUCGUG